GCUCGAUCAACAGCAGGUCUGCGAAGGGAUCCCCUUCGCUGCCCCACAGCCCACUCUGACGUUAGUAACAGAUGCAUCGGACCUGGGUUGGGGGGCGCAUCUGGGGGAACUGCGGACCCAAGGGUUGUGGUCCAGAGAAGACAGACUGCUUCACAUCAAUCUAAAGGAGCUAAGAGCGGUUCGCCUCGCCUGUCAGACCUUCCACGCCACCAUAGAAGGUCACAGCGUGGCAGUCCUGACGGACAGCACUACCGCCAUGUUCUAUAUAAACAAGCAGGGCGGGUCCCGGUCCUCUCCCCUCUGUCGCGAGGCACUCCAAUUAUGGGACUUUUGUAUAGCCCAUGCGAUCCACCUCAUCGCAACGUAUCUCCCGGGGAUCCAAAACGGCUUAGCGGACCGCCUCAGCUGAUCCUACCGAAUGCACGAAUGGGCGUUGAGGCGAGACGUCCUGCAUUCAAUCUUCCGGAGGUGGGGCUUUCCCCGGGUGAAUCUGUUCGCCACCAAGGACAACAGUCAAUGCCCUCAGUUCUGCUCAUUUCAGAACCUCAGCCCGGGAUCAUUAGCAGAUGCCUUCACGAUCCCAUGGGGAGGGAGCCUGAGGUAUGCCUUCCCUCCGUUCCCGCUCAUACACAAGGUCCUCCUCAAGACCCUCAGGGACAGGGCGUCAAUUAUACUCAUCGCCCCGGCCUGGCCACGCCAGCAUUGGUUCACGACCCUGCUGGAAUUGUCCAUAGCCAACCCGAUCACCCUCCCCCUCCAUCGCGACCUAGUAACACAAGACAAAGGUCGCCUGCUCCACCCGAACCUGUCAUCGCUACAUCUCACGGCGUGGUAUCUCUCUGGCUGAACGAUGCGGAACACAGGUGCUCUCACCAGGUUCAACAAAUCCUCCUUAGUAGUAGGAAGCCCUCCACAAGAGCGACCUACCUGGCUAAAUGGAAAAGGUUCUCCCACUGGUGCGAGCCUCAGCACAUACAGCCUUUACAGGCCUCAGUUCCGUCGAUCCUGGACUACUUACUACACCUCAAGCAUCAAGGGCUUGCGCCCGCCUCGAUUAGAGUGCAUUUAGCCGCCAUUU
This 1078-nucleotide long non-coding RNA is filed under the name Chrysemys picta bellii (western painted turtle). RNAcentral's name for it is "lncRNA (ENSCPBG00000003047.1)". The record is from RNAcentral. Lineage: Eukaryota; Metazoa; Chordata; Testudines; Emydidae.